Long non-coding RNA from Sus scrofa (pig), 539 nucleotides. RefSeq lists it as uncharacterized. The record is from RefSeq and is a predicted model, not a curated record. Lineage: Eukaryota; Metazoa; Chordata; Mammalia; Artiodactyla; Suidae.
UGAAUGAAACAUUUUCAAAGCAAACUUCCAGUGAGUCAAGCUGAAACUGUGAAACAAAGUUCCUUCCAGUUCUACGAAAUCUUGAACUUGUUGGAUGGAAACUUUAUUAAUUACACCCCUUUUCCGGGCUCAAGGUGAACAGGGCACCCAGAAGCUGAACGAGGCGGUGCAGAUUUAAACCCCGGGGGGCGGGGGGGAGGAGAGGGGAGGAUUAGGACGAGGUGAACACCACAUGUGGCUUUAAUAUCCAACAGCUGCUGGAGAUCAUAACCCCGCUGCUCUCUGUACCCCCCACCAGAAUCCUAUGCUUCAAAGAUUAUUAUAACGAAAGGGACUUCACUGCCAGCUUCGGGACACCAUGUAGCGCCUUCUGCCAGGCACCUCUCAGUGUCUUCUGCAGCCCUGCCUGGCCAGAGUUCUUAAUUCCUCAUCAAAGACUUAAGAGCAUAAGAAAACAGAGUUGGAGUAUCUGGAAACCUUCACUUUGAUGGGCCACACUCCUACUUGGAGCUAUAGCUGCCGGCCUGCGCCACAACCAC